This is a long non-coding RNA of Hemicordylus capensis (graceful crag lizard), 1249 nucleotides long. RefSeq lists it as uncharacterized. The record is from RefSeq and is a predicted model, not a curated record. Lineage: Eukaryota; Metazoa; Chordata; Lepidosauria; Squamata; Cordylidae. The transcript is spliced from 2 exons.
GGGAUUCACCACAGAUUUCCAAGGAAAAGGGCCCUCUUUUUUUACAUCCGAUCAGAGAGUUGCACUUCAAAACCAUGGAGUUGACCAGAAGUUUAGCAACAUCAGACGUGUACAAGAUGCAGUCAAGCACACUGCAUCUUUUUAACUCUGUCUUUGAACCAAGAUCACCACUCAGGAAGGGAGAUCACUGGGAAAUGUAUGCGAACUCUAUUUCUUCCUGCCAAGCAUGCUGCAAAACGUACUUGGGAAGAUAAGAUGGAACACACACACAAAGCAUGUUCCUUUCCUUGCAAGCCAGCCACCAUCUCAGAGAUCAUGAUGGUUCACAAAGCUGUUGGGAGAAUACACAUGAAGCAUCAGUUCUACAGCUGCUGGAUUCAGUUUUUAGAGACUGAAGGAACUCAAGCCAGUAGCCUUGAGUGACAUACCUCCGCGUUUCACAGAACUUUCUGAGGACAGAAUAUUCAUGAAGCAUGUUCCUCCUCCUAUGAGCCACUGUCUUAGAGAUUUGGAUACAUUGGUCAGUUUUUCGAUGAAGUUGUUCCUCAUGACAAAUGAGAUCGGUUGAGCCUGGCUUGACUUCUGUAGCCUCCUUGCACUGAUGCUUGAAAUCUGUUGGAAAAGAACAAGAGACAACUUUUAUUUUCAACUGUGGGCCAUUUUAAACCCAUUUUUACACUCAGCAGCCCUUAUCCCCUGAGAGUUCUCUUUUUGUUCACUUGUAUGCUCUUCACCUUGCUCCAAUCUUUGUCUUUGAGCCUUACCUAUCACAGAGGCCUCUUCAGAGGAGGAAACAUUCCAACAUCACCAUCCAAGCAUGGAAAUUGUAAGGAAACAUGUGCCUUCUUUUUCUUCAUGCCAAACUUACCACAAAAGCUUACUGAGAGGACAGAAAGCAAACCUCAUGAAGCAUGUUCCAUUCAAGAGAGCCACAACCUUAGAAUUUAUGCUGUCUCCCUCAGCUGUUGAAAAAAUAAAGAAACCUGAAGCUACUAUUGGCAACCCCUGAAAUUUAGUGAUUUCUGGGCCUUGACUUGUGCAGCCCCAAGGCUGACUUUUCUUGUGCGUUGUUACCUUCUUCCAUUCUUGCCCGAGAUGUUUGUUGUUCUUUCUUGGCUUCUGUGUCAUUGAUUUAUUUGAUUCUUUCCUGAAAUCUGUCGGGAAAGAGCAAGUUAUGUCAUUUAUUUUGGACUGUGCUAAAUAUCAAAUUUUUAUCUUAUCCUAUAUAAUAAAACCCUAGGGUACCUGC